RNAcentral lists this ribosomal RNA (579 nucleotides) under Salmonella enterica. RNAcentral's name for it is "partial 23S ribosomal RNA". It matches the Rfam family "Bacterial large subunit ribosomal RNA", at positions 1179 to 1757 of the family's 2925-position model. Lineage: Bacteria; Pseudomonadati; Pseudomonadota; Gammaproteobacteria; Enterobacterales; Enterobacteriaceae. RNAcentral also lists the same sequence under 1 other name. The record is from RNAcentral.
GGCUAAACCAUGCACCGAAGCUGCGGCAGCGACGCUGAUGCGUUGUUGGGUAGGGGAGCGUUCUGUAAGCCUGUGAAGGUGGCCUGUGAGGGUUGCUGGAGGUAUCAGAAGUGCGAAUGCUGACAUAAGUAACGAUAAAGCGGGUGAAAAGCCCGCUCGCCGGAAGACCAAGGGUUCCUGUCCAACGUUAAUCGGGGCAGGGUGAGUCGACCCCUAAGGCGAGGCCGAAAGGCGUAGUCGAUGGGAAACGGGUUAAUAUUCCCGUACUUGGUGUUACUGCGAAGGGGGGACGGAGAAGGCUAUGUUGGCCGGGCGACGGUUGUCCCGGUUUAAGCGUGUAGGUGUGUGUUCCAGGUAAAUCCGGUUCACUUUAACACUGAGGCGUGAUGACGAGGCACUACGGUGCUGAAGCAACAAAUGCCCUGCUUCCAGGAAAAGCCUCUAAGCAUCAGGUAACAUCAAAUCGUACCCCAAACCGACACAGGUGGUCAGGUAGAGAAUACCAAGGCGCUUGAGAGAACUCGGGUGAAGGAACUAGGCAAAAUGGUGCCGUAACUUCGGGAGAAGGCACGCUGACAC